UGAUGUGAAAGCUCACGGCUCUACCCCUGGAGGGUCAUUGGAAACUGGGAGACUUGAGUGCAGAAGAGGAAAGUGGAAUUCCAUGUGUAGCGGUGAAAUGCGUAGAGAUAUGGAGGAACACCAGUGGCGAAGGCGACUUUCUGGUCUGUAACUGACACUGAGGCGCGAAAGCGUGGGGAGCAAACAGGAUUAGAUACCCUGGUAGUCCACGCCGUAAACGAUGAGUGCUAAGUGUUAGAGGGUUUCCAGCCCUUUAGUGACAUGAUAGUUAACGCAGUAAGCACUACCGCUGGGAGUACGCCGUCAG
Molecule: ribosomal RNA, 307 nt
Filed under: bacterium FA_130
Lineage: Bacteria
Description: bacterial SSU rRNA
Rfam family: Bacterial small subunit ribosomal RNA
Source: RNAcentral